This 253-nucleotide ribosomal RNA is filed under the name uncultured bacterium. Its description in RNAcentral is "partial 16S ribosomal RNA". It matches the Rfam family "Bacterial small subunit ribosomal RNA", at positions 524 to 776 of the family's 1533-position model. The record is from RNAcentral.
UACGAAGGGGGCUAGCGUUGCUCGGAAUUACUGGGCGUAAAGGGCGUGUAGGCGGACUGUUAAGUUAGAGGUGAAAGCCCAGGGCUCAACCUUGGAAUUGCCUUUGAUACUGGCAGUCUUGAGUACGGAAGAGGUAUGUGGAACUCCGAGUGUAGAGGUGAAAUUCGUAGAUAUUCGGAAGAACACCAGUGGCGAAGGCGACAUACUGGUCCGUUACUGACGCUGAGGCUCGAAAGCGUGGGGAGCAAACAGG